RNAcentral lists this ribosomal RNA (253 nucleotides) under uncultured Oscillospiraceae bacterium. Its description in RNAcentral is "partial 16S ribosomal RNA". It matches the Rfam family "Bacterial small subunit ribosomal RNA", at positions 524 to 776 of the family's 1533-position model. The record is from RNAcentral. Lineage: Bacteria; Bacillati; Bacillota; Clostridia; Eubacteriales; Oscillospiraceae.
UACGUAGGUGGCAAGCGUUAUCCGGAUUUACUGGGUGUAAAGGGCGUGUAGGCGGGAAAGCAAGUCAGAUGUGAAAACCAUGGGCUCAACCUGUGGCCUGCAUUUGAAACUGUUUUUCUUGAGUACUGGAGAGGCAGACGGAAUUCCUCGUGUAGCGGUGAAAUGCGUAGAUAUCACGCAGAACUCCGAUUGCGAAGGCAGCUUACUAAGCCAUAACUGACACUGAAGCACGAAAGCGUGGGGAUCAAACAGG